Molecule: ribosomal RNA, 460 nt
Filed under: uncultured bacterium
Lineage: Bacteria
Description: partial 16S ribosomal RNA
Rfam family: Bacterial small subunit ribosomal RNA
Source: RNAcentral
CCUACGGGAGGCAGCAGUGAGGAAUAUUGGUCAAUGGACGAGAGUCUGAACCAGCCAAGUAGCGUGAAGGAUGACUGCCCUAUGGGUUGUAACCUUCUUUUAUAAAGAAAUAAAACGAGGCACGUGUGCCUUUUUGCAUGUACUUUAUGGAUAAGGCUCGGCUAACUCCGUGCCAGCAGCCGCGGUAAUACGGAGGAUCCGAGCGUUAUCCGGAUUUAUUGGGUGUAAAGGGAGCGUAGAUGGGUUCUUAAGUCAGUUGUGAAAGUUUGCGGCUCAACCGUACAAUUGCAAUUGAUACUGGCAGUCUUGAGUACAGUUGAGGUAGGCGGAAUUCGUGGUGUAGCGGUGAAAUGCUUAGAUAUCACGAAGAACCCCGAUUGCGAAGGCAGCUUACUAAACUGUGACUGACAUUGAUGCUCGAAAGUGUGGGUAUCAAACAGGAUUAGAUACCCGGGUAGUC